This is a long non-coding RNA of Passer domesticus (house sparrow), 4376 nucleotides long. RefSeq lists it as uncharacterized. NCBI's taxonomy places the organism in Eukaryota, Metazoa, Chordata, Aves, Passeriformes, Passeridae. The transcript has 3 exons. The record is from RefSeq and is a predicted model, not a curated record.
UGAUUCCUAUUGCAAAAGGAAUUUUAUUCACUACAUAGCAGUUUUUAUAUUUCUUUUAUAUUCUUUUUCAUAGAGGUAGAUAGAUUAUACAUAUGUUAUUAUAUAUUCUUUUCAUACUUACUUUCUAUAUUUUUUAGGAAUUGAGUAGAAAACCUCAGAAGGGAUAUAAUAACCUUUCUGCAGUAAAUUAAAUUCCCCAGUGCAAGACACCUUUGACUGGAAGUGUAGAGGAGGAGUGAGGCUGCUUCUCUAGAGAGUCAUCAAUGAACUGGGUGAGAGGGUUAGAAAAUUCCCAGCAGCUCAGGCAGCCAUGGCUUGCCCUUCUGCCCUCAUCACCUGCAACUCCCUUCUGCCACCAAUGUCCAAAAGUGACAAUCCAUCUUUGUUUUCAGCUGCUGCUGUCCUCUUUUCCAAAGUCAAGGCAGGGUGACACACAUGGAGUAAAUGUACAGGCAGUCAAACCCCUGGAGGACAAACAGCUGAAAAGUGCCUAUACCAUCACAGUGGUUCAUAAAAAGGGGCAUGGAAAGUCCUCUGCCUUGAGAAGUGACCAAGAAGAUGAGGGUGACAAAGUCACCUGCAGUGUCACAGGGAUGAAUUAAUGACCUUGCUGGGGCAAAGGCCAGAGCUUGCCCAGUGGCAGUGAGAAAAGGGUUUUGCCUCCUCACCCCAUGCCCAUGUUGGAAUUAAUCACACAGAAAUGUCAACACUGCAGGAAAACAUCCUUCAGGAUAAUCUCUCUCACAAAGCUGCUUAACAUUUUGGAAAUAUACAGUUCACUUGGAGGUGUCAAAGGGUUUCAGCCCCUCUCAUGUCUGUUCAAAGGCAUCUUCAUCUGCUGCACCCUGUGCCAAGGGAGCAGAGCUGGGCUGGGAACGCUGCUGAACCUGCAGAGAGGUGGACACAGCACUGCCUCAUCCCCCAGCACCUGCUGGGGCUCUGCCAGGGGACAAAACUGGAGUUCUGUCACCUCUCAUCUUUGUUGUGCUGAAUGUCGUGCUUAAGAGCAGGAAGCACACGUCUGUAUGAGUUCCCAAGUGUCCUAGAGGGAGGUUUGCCAGCAGAUUUGGCUUUGGGGAGUGGUUUGGGAGUGAUCUUGCAGUGGGGAAAUGCUUGGAUGCUGAAUUCUCCAGCAGGUUCAGUACCUGGGAUGCUGUUUCUUGGGUUUGUUCCAGACUGAGCAGCUGUCUGGGAGCUGUUUGGUGUCAACCCUUUCUGGUCUGAUUUCCAGAGGUAACCACUCCCCCAUGUCCAGGGGAAGUGGAGCUGUGCUCUUUCACAGCCCUGUGCCUCAGUUUACCUGCACCUAUAAUUUUUUAAAACAUUAUUUACACUUAGGCAAUAGUGAAAUUUGAUGUGUGUCCACCUCAUGCCACGUUUUGAUUCAGAUUCUAGUGAGGUCUCAGAGUCAGCAAAUGGGUUUCCUUUUGGAGGGCACUACAGCAGAAGAGCUUCAGGAGCUCCUCUAAUAUACUCCAGCUGCUGACUGCUUGAAGCAAGUCCUCCACUCUCCCUAAAAACCAUCCAGGAUGACUGAGGGCCCUCAGCAUGAACUCCUCUGCUCUGCAUAUCCCCUCCUACAGCAGAGCACUUCUUCCCAGAGCAAACAGGUGUCAGCUCAGCACAGCUCCUUCUGGAAGGACAGUCCCCCCUCGAGUGGCAUCACUCCAAUCUGGUCCCACUCAUUUCUACUUCAGUUAUUUUGGCUCCUUCCAGGCAAGAGCACCCAUUUGUACUUCACAGGGUGCUCCCUCUCUGAAGAGCUCUCACUGCAGGCUCCCUGUGUGCCCUGGUGCUCCUGGGGCCAGGCUCAGGUGGACUAAUCAUGCCUGCCACAAUUUACAAGAAACAUGGAGCUCUCCUGCCCCUGACCCUGGCUGGCAUAGAGGUUGUCUGUAUUAUUGCUGCUGGUGCUGUACUGUACCCGCUGCUGAGGAGAGACAGGCCUCCAGACACCCGUAUUGAAUGCUCAAUUCGGUUAAAAUCGAUGAGAUAAUCAGCCCACAGAGUCUGCCCAAAGGUCAGGAAGCAGUGAUUUUUUCCUCCAGCAACUUUGGUCCUGAGCUCUUGUUUCAGUGUGAAGAUUGCAAGCCAAAGCACUUCAGUAGGUAGGUUAUCAAAGGGUUAUGAGUGCUGGUAGUUAGCUGACAGGCUGAUGUAACAAGGGCCUAACAAGGGCUCCUAAAACAGGCAGGCAAGUUUUGGCAGUGCUUUUUUCUCUAAAAAGAGCAGGAGAUGGUGCAGGGUGGGCUGGUGUCCUGCAAGGCAAAAUGCAAAGAGCCUUGAAGAGGAACCCACCAAUGUGGAGUAAGAAAAGAAUGGCAGGAGAAAGGGGUGCUGUGGGAAAGACCAGGUGGGGAUAACCCUUUUUCUCACCCCAUUCCCCAGAUUUCAUCCCCCAUCUUGUGUCUCCUCAGUCCCACGUGUGCCCACAGCAGCCGUCGCCAGAGCCAAAGGCCGCAGCAGGGGGAGGAUCCAUCUUACCCCUCUCCUCACUCCAGCACACGUUCUCCAGCAGCUGGACACACGACAUACUGCGGGCUGGAUUUGCAGAAACACUUUGAUCUUUCAUCUUUAAGCUCAGUGAUUCAAUCCCCCCCAGAGCCAAGGUAAACGGCGGCGAUGCCGCUUCGGCGGGCCCGAGGUUCCAAGUCAAACAGCAGUCCUUUAACCACACUUUUAAAGCUCGUAUCAUUUGAAUGUCAUAUGUCAAACUGAUGCUACUUCCACUGAAGGCAAAUAGCUGUUUAUUCCCCUCACAGCUGCCCAGCAGUCUGACAUUCAUUACUGAAUCCUUGCAGCUGCCAGGGAUUGAAGCUACCUGUAGGAGCGCGUCUAUCAAAGCCUUCCACCUCUUAAGGGUUAUUCCCUACAAUACCAGCUCAUACAGUUUAGUUCAGGCUCAUUUUACAGCUGCUGUCGUUCUGCAGUUGUUUUUUCCUAUGUUUGAACAAGGUCAGGCAUUGUUUUUUGCCCGUUCCCUCCCGAAUUAUGUCGUUAGCUCAUUUUUCAUGGUUUCUCCGGGGUUCAGGCUCGCUGUCACUGUGCACCAGCCCCUGAGGUUUAUGAUGUGAAUGUUCCACGGCUGUGGGCAGCAACCAGCACACAGGACUGCAGUGCUGGUGGUCCAGUCUUGGCAUCUUGAUGCAGCUCCAGCUCUCCGUGAGGCCAGCGCUGCGAAUUCUAUUUCUGGGAUGAAGGAAAACCACUAGAAGAGAGCCAGCAGGAAUAUUUUACUAUUCCAGCAGUCAUUGCAGCACGGCAGGGUCUGGACGUGACUGAGAGUUUAUCCAUGGCCAGCCAGCGGAAAAUGACCAGCAGUGAAAUGCUAGCCGUGGAUGUUAAGUGAUUACUUUCUGAAAUAACUCCCUCCUCUCCAUCCCAGAGCGACGUGUAAAGUGUUUGCUGAUACAGGAAUUACAGAUGUUGGAGGAGCUGCUAUAAACGCUCCCAAGAUUUACAUCUCCUCCGUGAGGUUUCUCCACGGGCUGACUUCCCAGGGAGAGGUUUUACAGGCACUCAGGAUCCUUUUGAAUGUGUCUCCAGAGGUGUGUGCAAUAAUCAGAGGAAAUCCCUUGAAGCCCAUCAGAUAAAGCACACAGAGUUGGGAAGGGAGCAGGGAGGUCACUUAGUCCCUAUGGAAAAAACUAUUUUUGGCUUAUUCAGGGACACAAAGCCAAGUUUUCAACUCAUGCUGAGUGCUGGUUUCAUGAGCACCUCCAGAUGCUUGCAGCCACAUCACAGCUCCAGUUUGUUCUGGCUUACAGCACGAAAAUAAACUUAAAUCUCCUAAAACUGCUGGGUUUCUUCUGAAUUUGGGGUAGAGUGGAAGAAUUCAGCUCUUAUAUCUGGAUCUGACCACUCCUAAUGCCCAUUCCCAGUGCCCCACUGAUGUGUGAGGCUGGUCACCCCACAGCUUUUAGGGAGAAUUAUUACUUCAUUCAUUACUUCAGUGAAAGAAGUAACGGGCCCAGGUGGAAUUACAGGUGGUAAUGAAAAACAGAGACUUGAUUUUCUCCAAUACCAUUUGUGGGUACUUCAAAUACAUUUAUUUAUUUAUUUAUGUGUAUAUGUGUGUAUGCAAGUGCCAUAGGUAUGUACCAUGUAUUUAUGGCAACUAUACAAAGAAUUAUAUCUAUAUAUGUUAGUUAUGUUACACCUACAGUUUGGAGCUGCAGGCUCUGGGCUGUGAGGCCUUGUAUUUUUCCUUUUAUGCUCUGGCAAUAAUAGCUUUUGGCUAUUAUUUUGGCUUUGGCCAAUAACAGCUUAUUGCCCACAUCAUAAGAUUUAAAGCCUGUGACCAUUAUGUUUGCUGAAGGAGACUUAAACUUCCCUUUGGAAACUCCAGUGUAUUGGUGCAAGGUGUAUUUUCUCCA